This 460-nucleotide ribosomal RNA is filed under the name Escherichia coli. RNAcentral describes it as "bacterial SSU rRNA". It matches the Rfam family "Bacterial small subunit ribosomal RNA", at positions 112 to 569 of the family's 1533-position model. Lineage: Bacteria; Pseudomonadati; Pseudomonadota; Gammaproteobacteria; Enterobacterales; Enterobacteriaceae. The record is from RNAcentral.
UAUGUCUGGGAACUGCCUGAUGGAGGGGGAUAACUACUGGAAACGGUAGCUAAUACCGCAUAACGUCGCAAGACCAAAGAGGGGGACCUUCGGGCCUCUUGCCAUCGGAUGUGCCCAGAUGGGAUUAGCUAGUAGGUGGGGUAACGGCUCACCUAGGCGACGAUCCCUAGCUGGUCUGAGAGGAUGACCAGCCACACUGGAACUGAGACACGGUCCAGACUCCUACGGGAGGCAGCAGUGGGGAAUAUUGCACAAUGGGCGCAAGCCUGAUGCAGCCAUGCCGCGUGUAUGAAGAAGGCCUUCGGGUUGUAAAGUACUUUCAGCGGGGAGGAAGGGAGUAAAGUUAAUACCUUUGCUCAUUGACGUUACCCGCAGAAGAAGCACCGGCUAACUCCGUGCCAGCAGCCGCGGUAAUACGGAGGGUGCAAGCGUUAAUCGGAAUUACUGGGCGUAAAGCGCA